RNAcentral lists this ribosomal RNA (635 nucleotides) under Bacillus cereus. Its description in RNAcentral is "partial 16S ribosomal RNA". It matches the Rfam family "Bacterial small subunit ribosomal RNA", at positions 841 to 1476 of the family's 1533-position model. Lineage: Bacteria; Bacillati; Bacillota; Bacilli; Caryophanales; Bacillaceae. The record is from RNAcentral.
UUAGUUGGAAGUUUAAGCAAUUAGACCUUCGCCGGGGGGGAAGGCCGCAAUGGCGAAAAAUCAAAAGAAUUGACGGGGGCCCGCACAAACGGUGGAGCAUUUGGUUUAAUUUGAAACAAAGCGAAAAACCUUACCAAGUUUUGACAUUCUUUUAAAACCCUAGAAAUAAGGCUUUUCCUUUGGGAGCCGAGUGACCGGGGGUGCAUGGUUGUAGUUAGCUUGUGUUGUGAGAUGUUGGGUUAAGUUCCGCAACGAGGGCAACCCUUGAUUUUAGUUUCCAUCAAUUAGUUGGGCACUUUAAGGGGGCUGCCGGUGACAAACCGGAGGAAGGUGGGGAUGACGUCAAAUUAUCAUGCCCCUUAUGGCCUGGGGUACACCCGUGGUACAAUGGACGGUACAAAGAAGUGCAAGGCCGCGAGGGGGAGCUAAUUUCAUAAAACCGUUUUCAGUUUGGAAUGUAGGGUGCAACUUGCCUACCAGAAGCUGGAAUUGCUUGUAAUCGCGGAUCAACCUGCCGCGGUGAAUACGUUUCCGGGCCUUGUACACCCCCCCCGUCCCACCCCGGGAGUUUGUAACCCCCGAAGUCGGUGGGGUAACCUUUUUGGAGCCAGCCGCCUAAGGUGGAACAGAUAUUU